UAGUUUGAAGUGUGUUAAAUUUGAUUUUCAUCCCUUGAUUUUUUGUGAAGAUAAUAUUUAAUUUGCUUUAAGAAGAUAAAUUUUAGAAUAUUAGAUAUAACCCUUAUCCCAAUUUUAUCCCCGAUUUAACCCUUAAAAACUUUAGAAUUUUAUCCCAUAUUAUAUCACAUAUCCUCAUCCCAUUUAAUUUGAACAUAUCAUUUAAUUUAAUUAGGAAACAUAGAUUAAAUAAGAUGUAAUUAGAUAUAUCCCUCAUCCCGUUUUUAUCCC
This 270-nucleotide long non-coding RNA is filed under the name Lathyrus oleraceus (garden pea). Its description in RNAcentral is "Pisum sativum (pea) long non-coding RNA (PSAT_LNC002360)". Lineage: Eukaryota; Viridiplantae; Streptophyta; Magnoliopsida; Fabales; Fabaceae. The record is from RNAcentral.